Molecule: long non-coding RNA, 1573 nt
Filed under: Citrus sinensis (sweet orange)
Lineage: Eukaryota; Viridiplantae; Streptophyta; Magnoliopsida; Sapindales; Rutaceae
Description: long non-coding RNA (CSIN_LNC002174)
Source: RNAcentral
UUUGAAUUAGAGCUUGCUGAAGCAUUUAUUAUAGAAUUUAUAAAUGUGCCCUGUAAUUGGGAUAAAAACUCUUGACUUAAUUAAUCUGACAGAAGAACAUUUUGAGCAAUGUUGUAAUGUGAUUGUGCAUUGCUGAGAUAAUCUCAUCUUGUUUUGGUAUUCUAACCAAUAAAAAAAAAUUUAAGUGUUGGACUCCCCUUCGGCUUCACAUGGCAAGCCCUAAUUUCUUAAUCCAAACCUAAUCACACACAAAUACACAAUCACGCUGCCUACAAUAGAUUUGGUCAUCUGCUGUGCUGCUUGCCGACAACAAAUUGCUGCUCUUCGUCUUCGUCUUCGUCUUCGUCCUCAUCCCCGAUCUCUAGCUUGCUGGCUAUUCCCAUUUCCUUUUGUUUCGCAACUUAAUGGUUGUUGCCGGUAGCCUGCUACCUUCUUCAACUCCGAGCUAUAGCUAAUGCCUUCUUAAUUUAGAUUUUCUUCAAGUUCGAGUUGCUGCUACUGUAUUCUUUUGUGAGAGGUAAGCUGAUGGGUUCUUUCAUUUGUACACUAGGGUUUGGGGUUCUCUGAUCAGAAUAUAUCGGCUGGUCUGGUGAUUGCUCAACCGCCGUCGAUUUUUGAGGUGCCGCCCAGGUUGAGCCCCGCAAUUCUGCUUGACUCGCUAAAUUUCAGUUUGUUUUCGCCUACACAGGUAAUUCAAUUUAACUUUGUCUGACCUAAAGUUUCUUCAUUUAUUCAUUAGAUUUUAGCUUGUUUAGGAAAGCUUUCAUUUUUAUUGGGUUUCGCAUUUAAAUGCUAAUAAUCCUUGGGUUUGAAUUUUGAUUUUUUUUUUUUUGGAGGGAUGGAAAAUUUUCUUCAUUGCCUUGAUUUGUUAGCAGUCGGUUGGAAUUUUGAAUUAGAGCUUGCUGAAGCAUUUAUUAUAGAAUUUAUAAAUGUGCCCUGUAAUUGGGAUAAAAACUCUUGACUUAAUUAAUCUGACAGAAGAACAUUUUGAGCAAUGUUGUAAUGUGAUUGUGCAUUGCUGAGAUAAUCUCAUCUUGUUUUGGUAUUCUAAGUAUCCAAAUGGACUGGAUAGUAGGCUAUCCAGGUCAAGUUUUAAUGGUAAUUGGGCAUUUUUCUUUCCUGAUUUUAGUUUCAUCUCUUUUUAGAUGAAGCAUAUGGUUAAUGCAAACAAUUAACGAAAGAAAAGCUCUUGGUAUUACUAGUGUUGGAGAUCCAAUUGUCUUCAUGUAAACUGUGAACACUUUUAACUCCCAUAUCUAAGAUAUAGAGAUCUUUAUGUAGCUUUAAGCCAAAUAUGUGAGAAAUUCUCCAAUCUAGUCACAACUUUAUUAGCAACCAAGAAUGAAAGAGUAUUAGCUUCCAGUUAUAAUUUGAUGACCGGAGCUUGAAUGAGUGAGUGAUAACUUGUAUUGUCUAUAUUGCUUUGUAUGUCAUGCCUCACUGGCAUUAUGUUACUUGGGUAUCCAAAUUUUGCGUUUAUCUAUUACUAAUUUCCCUGAUUCAUUGGAUGCAACCUAGGGAGCCUUUAGAAUGAAGCACUAGCAGGCCCUAGCACAGGUCACUGCCCAAGCUG